Molecule: non-coding RNA, 73 nt
Organism: Podarcis lilfordi (Lilford's wall lizard)
Lineage: Eukaryota; Metazoa; Chordata; Lepidosauria; Squamata; Lacertidae
Source: the annotation of a GenBank genome assembly
UCCUGGAUAGCUCAGUUGGUAGAGCAUGAGACUCUUAAUCUCAGGGCUGUGAGUUCCAGCCCCAUGUUGGGCA